CAAGCGAAGGAAGGCAUGUGGGGGAUGCCUGGGCACACGGAGGCGAGGAAGGCCGCGGUAAGCUGCGAAAAGCUCGGGGGAGCCGCACACAGGCGAUGAGCCCGAGAUGGCCGAAUGGGGCAACCCACCGGGGCGCGAGCCCCGGUAUCACUGGUUUCCAGUGAGGCGAACCCGGGGAACUGAAACAUCUCAGUACCCGGAGGAAGAGAAAUCAACCGAGAUUCCCGGAGUAGCGGCGAGCGAAACGGGACGAGCCUAAACCGGGGGCCUUGCCUCCCCGGGGUUGUAGGACCCACGGACGCGAGGCCGAGAAGCCAGCCGAAGUCCCCUGGGACGGGGCGCCGGAGCGGGUGAGAGCCCCGUAGGCGACGGCGAGGGACGGCUCGUAGUGGAGUUCCUGAGUAACGCCCGGUACGAGGAGCCGGGCGUGAAGCCGGGGGGACCACCCUCCAAGGCUAAAGACUCCCGUGUGACCGAUAGUGGACGAGUACCGUGAGGGACAGGUGAAAAGCACCCCUGGGCGGGGAGUGAAAGAGAGCCUGAAACCACAUGCCCACAAGCGGUAGGAGGUCGGGCGGCCCGCAAGGGUCGCCGCGACUGACUGCGUGCCUUUUGCAUUAUGAUCCGGCGAGUUACUGCUCGGGUGCGAGGCUAAGCUGGUCACCAGCGGAGCCACAGCGAAAGCGAGUCCUGUAACGAGGGCGAGUGGAGUUCUUGGGCGUAGACCCGAAGCCAGGGCGAUCUACCCAUGAGCAGGGUGAAGCUGGGGUAACACCCAGUGGAGGCCCGAACCGGUGUGGGUUGAAAACCGCUCGGAUGACUUGUGGGUAGGGGUGAAAGGCCAAUCAAGCCUGGAGAUAGCUGGUUCUCCCCGAAAUCUAUUGAGGUAGGGCCUCGAGGAAGGCAGCAAUGCCUGUUGUCCGCAGGGGGUAGAGCGACUGGAUGGGCGCGGGGGCCAAAGCGGCCUACCAACCCCAACCAAACUCCGAAUACCUGUGCGAUCGACCUCGGGAGGCAGUCGCUGAGCGAUAAUGUCCAGCGGCGAGAGGGAAAGAACCCAGAGCCACAGCUAAGGCCCCGAAGUGGCCGCUGAGUAUAGCGAAGGAUGUGUUCGUGCCGCGACAACCGGGAGGUUGGCUUAGAAGCAGCCACCCCUUUAAAGAGUGCGUAAUAGCUCACCGGUCCAGCGCGGACGCGCCGAGAAUGGUCGGGAUUAAGCGGCCCGCCGAAGCUUGGCCUUCAGUUUCGACUGAGGGGUAGGGGAGCGUUCCCCGUGCGGAGAAGCCCGGGCGGAAGCCAGCGGGUGGAGCGAGGGGAAGUGAGGAUGCCGGAAUGAGUACGCGCAAAUGCGGGUGAGAACCCCGCACACCGUAAGCCCAAGGGUUCCUGCGCCAUGGCAAUCAGCGCAGGGUGAGGCGGACCCUAAGGCGAGGCCCCAAAGGCGUAGCCGAUGGACAGCCGGUUGACAUUCCGGCCCCGUCCUGCAGUGUCGAAGCCAUCAGGGACACCGAAACGACGCGUGAGCGGUCUUGUGGAUUGACCGUCUAAGCCGGUAGGGCGCAAGCCUGAGAGGUGAUGGGGAGGGGAGGCUUCGGCCGAUCCGACUUACGUUGAGUCUGCGGGCAAGAAAAGCUGAUGGGGGAGCUGCACGGACGUCCGUACCGUAAACCGACACAGGUGGGUGAGGCGAGUAGCCUCAGGUGAACGAGUGAAACGUGGUCAAGGAACUCGGCAUAAUGAUCCCGUAACUUCGGAAGAAGGGAUGCCCCUCGCGGUGUCGCGGCUUGCCCGCGGCGCUUCAGGGGGCCGCAGUGAAUCGGCCCAAGCGACUGUUUAGCAAAAACACAGGUGCGUGCCAAGCCGCGUAAGGCGCCGUAUACGCACUGACGCCUGCCCGGUGCCGGAAGGUUAAGGGGAGGGGUUAGCCGCAAGGCGAAGCCCUGAGCCGAAGCCCCGGUAAACGGCGGCCGUAACUAUAACGGUCCUAAGGUAGCGAAAUUCCUUGUCGGGUAAGUUCCGACCUGCACGAAUGGCGUAACGACUUGGGCACUGUCUCGACCACGCGCUCGGCGAAAUUGCAGUCUCGGUGAGGAUUCCGAGU
Molecule: ribosomal RNA, 2101 nt
Filed under: soil metagenome
Description: bacterial LSU rRNA
Rfam family: Bacterial large subunit ribosomal RNA
Source: RNAcentral